UACGGUCAGGUCACGUUGAAAUAACGGUUCCCGUACGAUCACCGAAGUUAAGCAAAGUCGAGCCUGGUCACUAUCUAGAUGGGUGACCGCCUAGGAAUGUCAGGUGCUGAAA
This is a non-coding RNA of Acanthosepion pharaonis, 112 nucleotides long. The record is from the annotation of a GenBank genome assembly. NCBI's taxonomy places the organism in Eukaryota, Metazoa, Mollusca, Cephalopoda, Sepiida, Sepiidae.